GCCAACUUGCUGCCCAUAUUGAUAAAAGAAACCUCUCUGCUCGGUGUUAGACCUACCAUCUCCUGCGGAUGUGCUACCCUUCCUGAGGAUUCUGUCAUUCCACAUCUACUGAUUCCUCAAGAUUAAUUUUGGCUGUGCAUGCGUAACCCUUUGUGAACACACAGUGGGACAGUGCUAGUCGGCUGCAGGAGCGGCUGCAGGGCCAGCUGAGCUCAAUGGGGUUCACCAUCAGGGAGCUGGUGGGCCUCUUGGUCCUUCACCCGGCCCAUCAUGCCGUUCUCCCGCUUGACCCAACCUGCUACAGCUGCUCCCUGCAUCAGUUCAGCUCACAGCUCAAUCAUUAUUCCGCUGAGCUACAGGCUCGUGGUCUGUCACUCCAGUGGGUCUUUAGUGCCAGAGGAGACUACAGCAGAGCUGACAAGUCCAUCCAGAACAGCAACAUUGAUGAUGAAAGAGUGACCUGCCUCCUCAACACUCGCAUCAUGAGGUAGACCUACCAUCUCCUGCGGGUGUGCUACCCUUCCUGAGGAUUCUGUCAUUCCACAUCUACUGAUUCCUCAAGAUGAAUUUUGUGGGACAGUGCUAGUCGGCUGCAGGAGCGGCUGCAGGGCCAGCUGAGCUCAAUGGGGUGCACCAUCGGGGAGCUGGUGGGCCUCUUGGUCCCAUUAUUCCGCUGAGCUACAGGCUCAUGGUCUGUCAGUCCAGUGGGUCUUUAGUGCCAGAGCAGACUACAGCAGAGCUGCCAAGUACAUCCAGAACAGCAACAUUGAUGAUGAAAGAGUGACCUGCCUCCUCAACACUCGCAUCAUGAGGGCGGAGUGUUGUGAGGACUGCUGCCCUGAGAACACCGAGUGCAUUCUGGAAUAUGGAUUUGGCAGACGCCUUUGUCCAAAGCGACACAUAAAUACAAAACAACAUAAUAUUUAAAAUUGAACAGGUUCAUUAAUCUAACAUUAAUCAUUUCAGUAACAUUAAUCCAUAAACUAAUCAUGAUUAUUGCAGCUACUUAAAAUAGUCUUGAAUUUUGCAAUUUAGCCAUGUAUACCACUGUGUUGGUGGUAAUGUGAGCAGUGUUUUGAAUGAACUGAUCAUAAUCAUUAUUUCAGUAAUUGUACAGCAAUUCAGUUUAUUGUACAGCAUGCAUCAUUUUGUGUAAUCCUAUCUUUUAUUGACAGAGCCCUCACAAAUAAACUGAUAUAAAGAAUAAACAUAGAUGGUGAUGGUUACAAGGGUGCCUUCAGAAGGUGCCAUCCAGCAGUCCCAGCCUGGAGCCAGAGGCUGCUAUUGCAAAUCCGAUGGGGUAUGAUCUAUGUUGGGCAUCAGAAAGGUGGUGUAAGCAAGAGUUGCUACAGACAAUGAUACGAUUAGGUAUGAUAUCACACAGACAUACUACUGUGCAGAAGUGUAAGGUCACUUUGAAAUGUCCUCUUUAUCAAACGAAAAACAUCAGACAUAUCUUAAGUGUACCCCAAACUUUAUAUAAUUUAUAAUAUAGUGGUGUAUAUCUUGUACACAUCUGCAUUACUUCUAACUAGGUUUGAGAGGGAUCCCGUGUGCGCAGUACUGCUCCUCUGCUUUGUGAUGGUGGGACAUGUCUAACCUACAGUAUAUUACAUCCUUAUGAGAACACCAUAAGUUAUAUGGAAUAUAACUUAAUAUAACAUAAAUAACAUCUACACACUACAAGUAUUCCAGAAAUAUAUUAUUUAGGCCACCUACAUGGAUCUAUACUUAUACCGUAAAUCUUCAAAUUAUUUAUAGCCGGACCUCGGAUAAUAGCAGGUAGCGUGGUCGAUUCAGACAAAUAAAGGCUGGCCUCCAAAUACGAGCCGGGGUAAUAAUUGCAUACCAGUAGGGUUAUCAGUCCACGGGCACUAUAAGAUUCUUUCAAUUUAACUCAAUGAAAUAAAAGGGCUGUUCUUAAUAUUUAAUGUGUUACAGUGUUACAGGCUAAAACAGAUUUGUGCAUGCAUAUCUAAUAAUUAUGCGCAUUCCUUUAGUCUGAGAAUGUGCAGCAGUUUGUUGAGGUACCACCGGCGGCAGUAGAAGCAGCACCACCACAAACACCACAUUACCC
This is an RNA transcript of Alosa alosa (allis shad), 2077 nucleotides long. It is a transcript of the gene named transferrin receptor protein 2-like, with no coding region annotated. The transcript is spliced from 9 exons. The record is from RefSeq and is a predicted model, not a curated record. NCBI's taxonomy places the organism in Eukaryota, Metazoa, Chordata, Actinopteri, Clupeiformes, Clupeidae.